RNAcentral lists this transfer RNA (73 nucleotides) under Equus caballus (horse). It matches the Rfam family "tRNA". From Rfam's summary of the family: Transfer RNA (tRNA) molecules are approximately 80 nucleotides in length. Their secondary structure includes four short double-helical elements and three loops (D, anti-codon, and T loops). Lineage: Eukaryota; Metazoa; Chordata; Mammalia; Perissodactyla; Equidae. The record is from Rfam by way of RNAcentral.
GCCCUGGUGGUCUAGUGGUUAAGAUUCAGGGCUCUCAACUGCGGCGGCCCAGGUUCAUUUCCUGGUCAGGGAA